AGAGUUUGAUUAUGGCUCAGGGUAACGCUGGCGGCGUGCUUGACACAUGCAAGUCGAACGGUAUGUGCAAACAUAGAGUGGCGAACGGGUGAGUAACACGUGGGAACGUACCCUACGCAGGGGGAUAACUGACCGAAAGGACAGCUAAUACCGCAUAACCGAAAGGUGAAAGGUGCAACUGCACCGGCGAAGGAGCGGCCCGCGGACCAUCAGCUAGUUGGUGGGGUAAGAGCCUACCAAGGCAACGACGGAUAGCCGGCGUGAGAGCGUGGCCGGCCACAAGGACACUGAGAUACGGGUCCUACUCCUACGGGAGGCAGCAGUGCGGAAUUUUAGAUAAUGGAGGCAACUCUGAUCUAGCGACGCCGCGUGCAGGAGGUUCGUUGACUGCUGUGGUAAGGGUGGAACUUUACUAGAAAGCCCCGGCAACUACGUGCCAGCAGCCGCGGUAAUACGUAGGGGGCGAGCGUUACCCGGAAUCACUGGGCGUAAAGGGAGCGUAGGUGGCCUGACAUGUCAACUGUGAAAACCCGGAGCUCAACUCCGGACUUGCAGUUGAAACUGCCAGGCUUGAGGACGGUAGAGGAAGACGGAACUGCCAGUGUAGGGGUAAAAUCCUUAGAUAUUGGCAGGAACGCCGGUGACGAAGGUGGUUUUCUGGGCCGUUCUGACACUGAUGCUCGAAAGCCAGGGGAGCGAACGGGAUUAAAUACCCCGGUAGUCCUGGCCCUUAAAGAUGUUCAGUAGGUGUGGGGAGCGGAACUUUCCGUGUUAAAGCUAACGCAAUAAGUGAACCGCCUGGGGAGUACGCCCGCAAGGGUGAAACUCAAAGGAAUUGACGGGGGCCCGCACAAGCGGUGGAGCGUGUGGUUUAAUUCGAUGCUAAGCGAAGGACCUUACCAAGGUCAUGUGAUAGAGUGAAUUGAAAGAGGAACGUUAGUCAAAGGUGGUGCACGGCCGUCGUCAGCUCGUGCCGUGAGGUGUUGGGUUAAGUCCCGCAACGAGCGCAACCCCUGCUCUUAGUUGCCAGCGGUAAGCGGGCACUCUAGGAGGACCGCCGCCGACGAGGCGGAGGAAGGGGGGGAUGACGUCAGGUAUCGUGCCCCUUAUAUCUUGGGCGACACACGCGCUACAAUGGGUUGGACAGAAGGGACCAAGACAGCGAUGUGGAGGAAUCCUCAAACCAACCCCCAGUUCAGAUUGCAGGCUGCAACCCGCCUGCAUGAAGCCGGAAUCGCUAGUAAUCGCAGAUCAGCCAAGCUGCGGUGAAUACGUUCCCGGGCCUGUACACACCCCCGUC
This 1300-nucleotide ribosomal RNA is filed under the name uncultured Thermotogae bacterium. RNAcentral describes it as "bacterial SSU rRNA". It matches the Rfam family "Bacterial small subunit ribosomal RNA". Lineage: Bacteria; Thermotogati; Thermotogota; Thermotogae. The record is from RNAcentral.